UACGUAGGAGACAAGCGUUGUCCGGAAUUACUGGGCGUAAAGCGCGUGUAGGCGGUAGGCCAAGUCUGCUGUGAAAUCGCCCGGCUCAACUGGGCGCGGUCGGUGGAAACUGGUCAACUGGAGGACGGUAGAGGCGAGUGGAAUUCCCGGUGUAGUGGUGAAAUGCGUAGAGAUCGGGAGGAACACCAGUGGCGAAGGCGGCUCGCUGGGCCGGUCCUGACGCUGAGACGCGAAGGCGUGGGGAGCGAACGGG
RNAcentral lists this ribosomal RNA (253 nucleotides) under uncultured bacterium. Its description in RNAcentral is "partial 16S ribosomal RNA". It matches the Rfam family "Bacterial small subunit ribosomal RNA", at positions 524 to 776 of the family's 1533-position model. The record is from RNAcentral.